This is a long non-coding RNA of Condylostylus longicornis, 2862 nucleotides long. RefSeq lists it as uncharacterized. Lineage: Eukaryota; Metazoa; Arthropoda; Insecta; Diptera; Dolichopodidae. The transcript has 2 exons. The record is from RefSeq and is a predicted model, not a curated record.
UAAUUAUUUGACUUUUGAAAAAAUGUCAUUGCAAAACGCCAUUUAGCAUUCUUAAAUUUAAAUAUGAUUAACCUGUACAAAAAUCACGUAAAUUAAUAUUUUUAUAUAUAUCUAUAAAGGAAGAAUCAUCACUAAAGCUGAAUUCAUCAGUUCGUCAGCUUUUUUUGUUAAAGCAACUUCAACUUUAACAAAAAAAUAAUCAGCUUUUUUCAGACGAGUCAAUGAACAAUCAAGAGAAAAAAUAGUUCGACUUUAAAUGGCUCAACUCGAAAACGACGAAUCCAACUUUAAUCAGCUUCAUCUGCAUUUUCAGUCAAAUCAGAUUCGCCAUUUUCAGUCAAAUUUCAAUACUCUUGCACUUCACUCAUUUUCACAAUUACUUUUUUGGAGAUGCAUAAAUAACAUAAUAAUAGCCACAAUUUUGACAUAUAUGACAUUCUAAUUAAAAUUAUGCCUUUUGGACCUGAUCUUCUAUAUCACAAUUUUACUGGGAAGGAAGUGAAUAACUAUCAUAUACAUACUUGUAUAAUGUAAUUUUCGAGUGAGAAGAAUUAAUCUAUUGCCUACCUUUUUUUUUUAAGUUGUAUACAAAAGUUUUUCACUUUUUUUUAAAGUGAAGCGCUAAGUCGAUAAUGUGAGAAAAAAUGCAAAAAUGCAAUAUAAAAUACUUACAAUUCUGAUUUGAAAGUGAAUAAAAAGUGAGUAAAAAAGCGAGAUACCCUGAUCAAGCUGUUUUGCCUAACUUGCAGGGUAGAGUUUUUAAAUUGAUGACAGAUAUCACAUGAUCAUUAUGUGACAUUUUGAAAAAAAGGCCAAUGUAAUAGUCACUGUCUUGGUAAGUACAAAGCCACCGCAUUAAAAAAAUUUACCGGACUGCUUCUAUCGGAUCAACUUCGAUAAUGUUAGUAUAUUUUUUCUCAAUUUAUUUUUUACAUGGAUAAGUGUAUACAAUUAUUUUAAAAAUAUACGUUUUAUAAUAUGGAAAACUUAUAAGGCUUUAUCAUAAAGUUUCACGUUUAAAAUUUGAUUUAAGAAAAAAAAUAUUCGCCAACAUCUAACCAAAACUAUUUUGUUUUCCGGUCAAUAAUUUAAUGUAAUACACUUAAGCAAUAAUAUACACAAAUAUCAUGUUAGAUUUGAUUGGUAGUAUGUUUAAAAUAAAAAUAUGUAUAUGUAUAUAGAUGGUUAAAAAAUAAUAUUUUUUUAUUAAAAAAAUAACUCUCAUAAAUUUCUAGAAUAUUCAUAUUUCCUAACAAUAUUUUGAAAUCGUUUCUGGCAAUAGUUUUUACUACAUGUAAAACAAUACUUUUUACUAAAUAAAGACAAAAAAGUAACAUGUUUUAUUUUGGCUUCAAAAAUAUUAUUUGUCAGCUAUUCAUGUAUUAUUAGAUCCAUGUAUAGAACCUUGUUUAAAAAACGUUUCCAUGAAGAAAACAUCUUAUGCUGAAAUUUUAUAUUGCUGAAGACUCGCAAUUAUCAUCAAAGUAUAUCUAUAAUAAGUAGUUCGACUCGUUCCAUUUCGUUAGUUUUCGUUUGCAUUUUGCUUCCAAAUUCUUAAAAAGUUGUGUGGGCAAGAAAGAAAUAAAAUAUUGUAAACAAAAGAGUGUAUGAAAAACAUUGAACUGAAAUAAAAUUAAAUUAAGGUAGGAAAAAAAUUUGUUAUUUUGUAUUUUGAUAAUACCAAAAUUUAUUUUUCAUUUUAUUAAAGUUAGGUUAAAAAUUCGAAUCUAUGAAAGCAAAAGAGUUUGAAAUUUCAUGUAUGAAUGCAUUUACCUGGUAAAGUAGAUACACAGUAUCAGGCAGUGACAUAGAAAUAAAGUAAUUUAUAAAGAAAAGACAGGUGUAUGCAUACUGAUUAAUAUUUUAUGCAAUAUUAUCAUUACCGAUUAUCAAUAUUGAAAUAAAAAUUAAAAAUUUAAAGAUAAUUUAUUUAUUUUAUUUAUUAAUAAUUAUUAAUUACAAAAGCUUAACACUAAAAGUUUAAAAUAUUUUCAAAAGUACAUAUUUACCUCUCCACAUCUUUUGGCAACAAGUGAAAUUUUCACAAAAUUACAUCGAAAACGCUUCAAAUAAUUUUUACCCAUUAUUAUAAAAUAAAUAUUUUUUUUCACAACUAUUUAAACAUUUUAUUAAUGUUAUACGUCUUUUUAAAAUUUAUUUUUAUAAUUUUUCAAAAUUAUAUUAUAUAAAUUAUAAUAAUUUUUUUAAACACUUUUUUUAGGCUUCGCUUUUGUAAUAUGAAUACACCUUUUUUACCACCUUGUACUGGAAUAAGUUACAAAAUUAAAACUCCCACUUUUAAAAUUCUUAAAAUUUUUUCCUAUACUUUAUAUAGGGCAAAAUAAAUAACUCUCCCGCUUUUAAAAAUACAUUUUAAAAAAACAGGUGGACAUCUAUUGCGUACUCUUUCCCUCUCUCAAAAAUUCUUAUGUGUAAAAAAAUGAAAAUAAGAAGGUAUAUUGCUUAACUCUUUUAGCUAAUGGAAUUUUUUGUAUACAAAUAUUGAUGAGUGUUUGCAUUAGUGUGAUGUAAACGGAGAGUCGAACUACUUAUUAAUAGAUAUACUCGUAGUUUGGUUAUCAUUUUCAAUGUAAAUUGUAAAGUUUUAUAAUCUUUUUUAUGUACCCGCGAAGUUUUGAAAGCGGGUAAAAUGAAUGAUAAAAAAGAUCUACAUAUCUACACAUGUAAAUUUAUUGAAAAUUGUUUUGAAAAUGAUUCGAUAAAAUCGUACAAAAAGUCUUUCCAAAGCUAAAAAAUCUAAAAAAUAUGUACACUAGUUAAUUUAUAAUUAUAAAAAUAAAUUUAUAUUAAUAACAUAUGUUAUUAAAAAUAAAUAUACCCUUGCAAUAUGUUGUAUAUUCC